UACGUAGGUGGCAAGCGUUGUCCGGAUUUACUGGGCGUAAAGAGCGCGCAGGCGGUCGUUCAAGUCGCGUGUGAAAGCCCCCGGCUCAACUGGGGAGGGUCACGCGAUACUGAUCGACUCGAAGGCAGGAGAGGGUAGUGGAAUUCCCGGUGUAGUGGUGAAAUGCGUAGAUAUCGGGAGGAACACCAGUGGCGAAGGCGGCCAACUGGGCCGGUUCUGACGCUGAGGCGCGAAAGCGUGGGGAGCAAACAGG
Molecule: ribosomal RNA, 253 nt
Filed under: uncultured bacterium
Lineage: Bacteria
Description: partial 16S ribosomal RNA
Rfam family: Bacterial small subunit ribosomal RNA
Source: RNAcentral